AUGGUGAAUGGUGUUGUUGGUCUUGCCAUAUUGUCUCCUUAUUACCGUAGCAUUCAAAUGUGGCAGUGGAACGUCAAUUGUCAUGGUGAUACCAAAUGGGUGUUGUGCAAGUCCAUUGAAAUGAAUAACAUUCAUGGGAUCCCUCCUGGGGUUAGAGAGAGGCCAGAGUUGGUAUUUAGACUGAGAUAUGCUGAGGAUACUGGUGGUAUAUUUAUAUAUGUGGGCUGGAGUGUCUAUAUUGUUCAACUCAAGUCGAUGCAAUCUUGGAAACUUUGUGAAACCCACUAUGUUAAUGGCCAUCAUCCUUUCAAUAGUUUCUAUAUGCCAGGCACAAUCAUUGCUCGUGGUUAUGUUGGAGCUGAAAUGUUGUGCAGUAGCGAUACAUAG
This 387-nucleotide ribosomal RNA is filed under the name Triticum aestivum (bread wheat). RNAcentral describes it as "partial small subunit ribosomal RNA". The record is from RNAcentral. Lineage: Eukaryota; Viridiplantae; Streptophyta; Magnoliopsida; Poales; Poaceae.